CCCUUAGAGUUUGAUCCUGGCUCAGAACGAACGUUGGCGGCGUGGAUUAGGCAUGCAAGUCGAACGAAUCCCGGAGGGCUUGCUCUCCGGGGGAAGUGGCGAAAGGGGCAGUAAGGCGUGGGUAACCUACCCCAGGGACCGGGAUAGCCAUCCUAACGGGUGGGUAAUACCGGGCGUGGUGACCGUGGGGCAUCCUGUGGUCACGAAAGGAAUUUCGCCCUGGGAGGGGCUCACGUGGUAUUAGCUUGUUGGUGGGGUAACGGCCCACCAAGGCCAAGAUGCCUAGCGGGUGUGAGAGCACGACCCGCGCCACUGGCACUGCGACACUGGCCAGACUCCUACGGGAGGCUGCAGUCGAGGAUCUUCGGCAAUGGGCGCAAGCCUGACCGAGCGACGCCGCGUGUGCGAUGAAGGCCUUCGGGUUGUAAAGCACUGUCGAGGGGGAGGAAAGCCGGGUAACCGGUCUGACCUAGCCCUGGAGGAAGCACGGGCUAAGUUCGUGCCAGCAGCCGCGGUAAGACGAACCGUGCGAACGUUGUUCGGAUUCACUGGGCUUAAAGGGCGCGUAGGCGGGCGACCAAGUCAGGGGUGAAAUCUUUCGGCCCAACCGGAAAAGUGCCCCUGAUACUGGCCGCCUCGAGGGGGGGUAGGGGCAUGCGGAACUUCCGGUGGAGCGGUGAAAUGCGUAGAUAUCGGAAGGAACGCCGGUGGCGAAAGCGGCGUGCUGGACCCCUUCUGACGCUGAGGCGCGAAAGCCAGGGGAGCAAACGGG
This 772-nucleotide ribosomal RNA is filed under the name uncultured bacterium. RNAcentral describes it as "bacterial SSU rRNA". It matches the Rfam family "Bacterial small subunit ribosomal RNA", at positions 1 to 776 of the family's 1533-position model. The record is from RNAcentral.